GGAUUUAUCGAAUCCAGAAGAUUACAGUUUUACGAUUACGUCCAACGAUGAUAUCAUUGUCCUCAAGAAUGAAACCGACGUGUAUUCGGCGGGAGCCAGUUGAAACGUCGACAAUCAAAAUGUCGACGGUUGAAACAUCGAUAAGUACAAAAUGUCGACGGAUCAUUAUAUCGACAAGUAAACAAUGUUGACAGGUCAAUAUAUCGACAAAUUAAAUUAAUUAAAAUUAUUAUUAUUUUAAUUUAUUUAAAUAAAUAUGAAUUAUAAAAAUCAAAUAAAGUAUAAAAUACGAAAUACGAAUUAUAUAAAUAAAAUAAAUAUUCUUGGGUAUAGAUAUAAAUAAAAAUAAAAUGUAGGAAACAUGAAAUAAAAUAAAAUUAUAAUGCCACAUACUUUGUCCCAAAUGAAAGAGACAUAAUCGACUUUGACUAUUUGUGAACUCUUGUUUAACUGCACUAAUAGCCGCUUGUUCAAAAUCGGUUAAAAUAUAAUCCGGCUGUAAAACUAUAUUAUUUUCCGAUGCAUAGUCUUGUAAAUCUUGAAACAUACGAAUAUAACAUUGUUUAGACUUACUACUUAAGAGAGCAAAAACCAGAGGUAAAAUUCGCGAAUUUGUACAAUGUCCAACUGGAGCAUGAAUUGAAUAUAACUGAUGGAAUAUUGUUGGUACUGUUUUAAACGUAGGCUCUGCGAGGUAGGUACAUAAAUAAUCGUACACGCGCGUUGUCGAAAUGAUCGAAAUGAUUUGAUUUGACCACACCAUCACAUAAGAAAUAUCUACUAUUUAUUUUAUCCUUAUCUUUGUAUACUAAAUAUAAAAGAAUACCGUUCAUUUUAUCUCAACGUUAAAUAAUAAAAUUUAAUUUUUUUUUUCGAAAUGUUGUACCUGUCUACAUUGUAAUUUGUCGAAAUUUUGUACCUGUUGUUAUAAUGACCCGUCGACAUUUUGUACUUGUCGAUGUUUCAACCGUCGACAUUUUAACUUGUCGAUAUUUUGAUUGUCGACGUUUCGUACCAGACCCGUAUUCGGCUUUUAUCGAUUUCUGUUCGUCCGAAAGUGAAGUGUUCAAUAACCGCAAUCGUACGAAACUGGAAAGUCGAACUUUGGAUCCGAUAUAUUACGUCUGCAAUAAGUUUCAUAAAACCAGGACCGCCUUGGACUGGUAUUGGGACACGAAACCCGAGGAGACAACGAUGGUAGCAACAACAAUUGAUGACCGGCAUCUAAAUAAAAAAUCCGCUAAAAUUUAAAACUGACAACGGAAUCGACAAACAAGAAGACUGACGACGAGGUUCGUGGGACGGACGAACCAAUUGUAAAAAAGCCGAACGGUGGCAAGUAUUCGAGAUACGUUUUGGAACCCGAUGAACUGUAUAAUAAUAUGAUGGUUGAAGACAAAAAAUAUUUGAACCCUAUAUGGACCCUAUAUGUUUGUGCUCGUUGUGCAAUAAACGACGAGUCCCUAGUUUUUACGAUGGUCGUGAAAGCAGACACGUGUCAUUCAAAUACACUAACACCUCUGUACCGCCGUGCUUAAAAUGUGCGAUUCGUAGUACACACCACGCUCAAGUUUAAAUCCGAAGACAUCGAAAAUAUAAGUAAUAAAG
Molecule: long non-coding RNA, 1608 nt
Organism: Rhopalosiphum padi (bird cherry-oat aphid)
Lineage: Eukaryota; Metazoa; Arthropoda; Insecta; Hemiptera; Aphididae
Exons: 3
Source: RefSeq, a predicted model, not a curated record